Molecule: ribosomal RNA, 829 nt
Filed under: uncultured bacterium
Lineage: Bacteria
Description: bacterial SSU rRNA
Rfam family: Bacterial small subunit ribosomal RNA
Source: RNAcentral
UGUGGUAGGGGAGACUGGAAUUCCUGGUGUAGCGGUGAAAUGCGCAGAUAUCAGGAGGAACACCGAUGGCGAAGGCAGGUCUCUGGGCCACUACUGACGCUGAGAAGCGAAAGCAUGAGGAGCGAACAGGAUUAGAUACCCUGGUAGUCCAUGCCGUAAACGUUGGGAACUAGGUGUGGGCCUCAUUCCACGAGGUCCGUGCCGCAGCUAACGCAUUAAGUUCCCCGCCUGGGGAGUACGGCCGCAAGGCUAAAACUCAAAGGAAUUGACGGGGGCCCGCACAAGCGGCGGAGCAUGCGGAUUAAUUCGAUGCAACGCGAAGAACCUUACCAAGGCUUGACAUGUGCCGGAAAAGUGCAGAGAUGUGCUCCCCGCAAGGUCGGUACACAGGUGGUGCAUGGUUGUCGUCAGCUCGUGUCGUGAGAUGUUGGGUUAAGUCCCGCAACGAGCGCAACCCUCGUCCUAUGUUGCCAGCACGUGAUGGUGGGGACUCAUAGGAGACUGCCGGGGUCAACUCGGAGGAAGGUGGGGAUGACGUCAAAUCAUCAUGCCCCUUAUGUCUUGGGCUUCACGCAUGCUACAAUGGCCAGUACAAAGGGCUGCGAUACCGCAAGGUGGAGCGAAUCCCAAAAAACUGGUCUCAGUUCGGAUUGGGGUCUGCAACUCGACCCCAUGAAGUCGGAGUCGCUAGUAAUCGCAGAUCAGCAACGCUGCGGUGAAUACGUUCCCGGGCCUUGUACACACCGCCCGUCAAGUCACGAAAGUCGGUAACACCCGAAGCCGGUGGCCCAACUCGUAAGAGGGGGAGCCGUCGAAGGUGGGACUGGCG